This 460-nucleotide ribosomal RNA is filed under the name uncultured bacterium. RNAcentral describes it as "partial 16S ribosomal RNA". It matches the Rfam family "Bacterial small subunit ribosomal RNA", at positions 338 to 795 of the family's 1533-position model. The record is from RNAcentral.
CCUACGGGAGGCAGCAGUGAGGAAUAUUGGUCAAUGGACGAGAGUCUGAACCAGCCAAGUAGCGUGAAGGAUGACUGCCCUAUGGGUUGUAAACUUCUUUUAUAUGGGAAUAAAAUGUUCCACGUGUGGGAUUUUGUAUGUACCAUAUGAAUAAGGAUCGGCUAACUCCGUGCCAGCAGCCGCGGUAAUACGGAGGAUCCGAGCGUUAUCCGGAUGUAUUGGGUUUAAAGGGAGCGUAGGUGGAUUGUUAAGUUAGUUGUGAAAGUUUGCGGCUCAACCGUAAAAUUGCAGUUGAAACUGGCAGUCUUGAGUACAGUAGAGGUGGGCGGAAUUCGUGGUGUAGCGGUGAAAUGCUUAGAUAUCACGAAGAACUCCGAUUGCGAAGGCAGCUCACUGGACUGCAACUGACACUGAGGCUCGAAAGUGUGGGUAUCAAACAGGAUUAGAUACCCCAGUAGUC